UCUUUAUUAUUCAGUUUAAAAAGAUUUAGACUGAUUUUAUCCAAUCUACAACAUAUAACUUUUAAUUUAACUUUUUAAAAGAUAAUAUGUCCUCUUGGAAAUGUUUAAACUUACUAAGAAGGUUUAAUAAUGGAAAUAUUUUAAAGAUGUAAUUCUAGUCUUGCUCUUCUCAUUAAUUUUGUGUUUUUUUUAAUAUGGAAAAAGAGUGUAGGACAAUAAACUGUAAUCAAUGAAACAGAGUAAGGAAGAAACAAUAUUGUCAUAAAAUGUGCUUAAUAAAGCUAGUAGCUUUUCUGUAUAUCCUCUUUAGAUUAAUCUUGAUUUACUCUUAAAGCUUUGCCUCUUUUUUACUUUGAAGACUGGAGAAUUAAGAAAUCUUGUAUCAGUGAACUCAUCUCCUCUUCUCAAUUUGCUGUAAAACAAAAAGGAUAAAAUCAUCAGUGGAUCUGAGGAAGGGCUACACAUACCGGAAUCUGGAAUUGAUGUUCUAGUGUAGGAAUCUUCACAAGUAAUGUCCACUUCCCCGGUAAGAGCAUGCUCAUUUGUUUCAUGGUAUGUUAUUGGCAAGGUUUCAGGGCUCUUCAGUAUUGGGAUGUUUUGGGGAAUUUUAUGGAACCCUAUAGGUGUUUCAGUAAUGCUAGAAAUAACUUUUUCUUUGUUUUUAUCUUCAUCACUUGAACGAACAACAUAGGUCUUUCUGCUUAGCUUUGUUGUAGAUUCUUCCCUUUUAUUGAAAGUGUUAACACAAAACUCAGUCUCCUUUAGGGAGCACAAAGGUGUAAAAUUCUGAAUAUUAGAAAUUCUUUGCAUAUUUUCAACUCUCUUAUGGGUAAUAUCAUUAAAUAGAACGUUUUCAUGUACUUCUUGUUUCUCUGAAGUUUUUUUCUGCUUAAGAGAGUCUGGAUAUAUAAUAUAUGUUUUCCGGCUAGCUUUUGCAAAAAUUCGCCUUGUAUCUCCCUGUGAAAAUUCUUCCUUGAUUUGUUUUGUGUUUGGAACACCUGAAGCAUUAGUAGAUCUCGCUGCUGUUCCACAACUGCAAUUAACUUCUCUGUUGUUAUACUCCAUUUUUAUAUUUGUCUUUGGGUCUUGUUUUGUCUGGCAAUCAGGUCUGCAUUCCUUUGAUCCAAGUCUUCUCAGAUUCCUUCUGGCAUGCUUCUCAUUUUCUAUUCCACAGUCAUUUUGUUUGUUCAUUUUGGAAGCAUUACGAUAGGUAACCUUUUUCACUAUCUGUUUGGUGGUCACAUUUAUAUCUAAUAAAUCCUGCUUUGAAGCCAUUACAUCAGAGGUGUGGCUUUCUGCAGAUGACAAGUUUUCAAUACAAACACUUUCUAAUGGCUUCUUACUGCUGUCUUGUUCUGGGGACUGGUUGUUUGAACUGUCUGCUGUUUCAGAAAUAAUAUCUUUCCUUUCCCCCUUUUGUAAAACAUUAGUGGUUUGCUGACUCUUUAGGUCUACAUGUUUUACUGCGUGCAUCUGUCUGCUAUUCUUGUUGUUAUUAAUGGAAUUUUCUCCAACAUCAUUGGUGCUGUUCACUUCAAUUGCCUGAGUAGCUCUUCUUUGAAACAACUUUUUCCCUUGCUUUUGAAAUUUUUGAGAUGUAGUAGUGUGGAUGUUUUUAAUCUUUCCACUACUUGGAACAUUUUCAUUAUGUAUUUUAGGCUUAUUGUGAUCUUUUUCUUUAAUAUGUUUUUCUGUAUUGGGAUAUCUAACCUUUCUCAAAUUUGCUGAAACUUUAUCAGCUUUGACUAGAUCAGCACUUCCAUCUUUUCUUUUUGAUGUAAUUGUGAGUAUCUCACCUAGUUCACUAGCAGUCAACUCCAUUUCAGUAUCAUACACCGUUUCUUCUGGCUUUUGAUCAUUCAUAAAAUGUGUUUUAUCUGUGUGAGCAGGCCCAUUACAAGGUUGCUGAGAUGACUCUGUGUGUGAAACACUGUUUGGGCCUGUCUGAUGUCCUAUCUCAUUAUUAGUGUGGGUUUUGGCGUUGUUAUAAUGUAACAUGCUGUUUUGAUUUCCUUUUUUAUCAAAGUCAUUUACAAUAGGUUGAACAUUUGAUGUAUAAGACAUUGCUUGUUUCUUCCUUUCAGUCACAUAGCCAUGGCUUGGCAAUGGACUACUGUUAUGCGCUCUUGGAUGCCUUUCAAGUAUAGAAGAUGCAUUAUCCACAUCCAGCAUAAAGAUACUACUGGAAAUCUGCUCUAUGCAUGACUGAUUUUCUGAAAACAAAACAAAAUCAGGAAAAUUACCAUUCAUUUUUAAAAAUAUAUUGUUAGGGAGUAUUGAAGACUGCUUUCACUGGAUCAUAACUGGAUCAUAAAGUUCCAGUUAGUGGACCUUAACAGAAAUACUGACAUUGCUAUGAUAUGUCUUAUAUAUCUUGUUAUUUCUUUCAGUGUUAGAUAUUUCAGUGUUCUAUAUUUUCAGUCUUGAUAUUUCUUUCAGUGUUCCUGUCAUAUAACUGUCCUCAAAGUGGUAUCCAAAUUUUGCCCGCUGCCAUAAACACAUAGGCUCGCAUACUGACUUACAUCAUGUGUGUGUAAGAACAUUUUGCCCUUGCAAAAAGAAGGGGUGUUUUUCACUGAACCCCAUUUCUCUCUGCAACCUUCAAGUAUAUAUUUUAAUGGAGCGUGGGGAGGGGAGCAGGAGGAAGGGGGGUGGGGUUGGUGAAAAUUGCCCCUUUCCCCUUGUGUGGGUUAAAACAUUCUGAGAUGCACAUUACAUUAGCCAGUAUGUGAGCAUAAUCUGCAAUAUAUGUUAACAUUGUUAAGUGUAAGGUACUGAAAGAACUGUACUAAAAGACACUGUCCCAAGAGAAAGGCAGAAGAGGUGCCCAGGCCAGACAGCUCUUGCCAUCAGCCCCUACAGAGAACAGUACUGAAAGGUCUGUGCAUCCAGAGGGUAAGGCAAGAAAGGAAGCAGUCAGAUCAAGGAGCUCUUGUCCCCAGCUCCUAAAAGGGUUAUCAAUGGCUUGAGACAACACUACUUUUUCAACCUUCCUGCAGGGGUAAUUGGAAACAGGUUUUGCUUUUCUAUACAUUUAUUACAGUCAUACUUAUGUGCUGAGAACAGAUGUAACAGGUUUUGGCAAUCUUUUGCAUCACUGAUUCAAAUGACCAAUUUUGAAUUUGCUAGUGUAGUUUCCCUCAAAAGUUACUGUAUACUAUUAAGUUGCAACAGAUCAAGUUUCUAUCUAAUCAACUACAGUGCUUUAAAUGUGUGAAAGCACCUAAGUUGUUUAAUUGUUUAGUAUAUAGUUGAAAAUAUAACUGAAGAAUAAAUUUGGUGUAAUUGAAUUAUUUAUGUCUGUACAGAAUGGUAGUGUGUGCAACAUUUUUCUUUUCUUAUUCUAUAGGGACUCCUGCAUUUUACAUCUGGCUGCUAAAAAAUUAAUCUCAGAAAAAUAAAUACCAUAAAUACAGCAUACCUUUUGAAAAUGUAUUUGUGACCAAUACUGUUUCUAUUUUAUUUGUGUCACUUGAUUUUGGCAUAUUUUCCUCAGAUACUAAAACUUCAAUAUUGAUUUGAUCUGCUUCAAUUUCCUUUGAUAAUACAGGCAUCUGUUUUAAAAGAGUAUCUCUUUUACAUACAAAGGUGUUAUUCUGUUGUUUUCUAUCU
Hemicordylus capensis (graceful crag lizard) is the source of this 3612-nucleotide long non-coding RNA. RefSeq lists it as uncharacterized. The transcript has 2 exons. Lineage: Eukaryota; Metazoa; Chordata; Lepidosauria; Squamata; Cordylidae. The record is from RefSeq and is a predicted model, not a curated record.